RNAcentral lists this unclassified non-coding RNA (194 nucleotides) under uncultured fungus. RNAcentral describes it as "sequence contains ITS1, 5.8S rRNA gene". The record is from RNAcentral. Lineage: Eukaryota; Fungi.
UUAAAUAUUAAAAUUUUACUCAGACGACACUAUAAAUGGUUUGGGUUUGGGGUUCUCCGGCGGGCACUUACCAGCCGAAGCCAGUAGCUAGGCGGCCCGCCAAAGCAACAAAGGUAAGGUAUACAAAGGGUGGGAGAUCUACCCGUGAGGGCAUGAACUCGGUAAUGAUCCUUCCGCAGGUUCACCUACGGAAA